GUGAUUCUCCUGCCUCAGCCUCCCAAGCAGGUGGGACUACAGAAGGAAUCAUUUCACCUGUCACAUAUCGUUGCAGAAAGGGCCUUUUGCCAGGACUGGAUGUAAACAAACCUCAGAGAGAUGUUACAGAAGCACAGAGAGGUUAAGUAACUUGCCCAGUGCUGCACAGAAACUAAGUGGUGGAGCUGGGAUCCGAACCCAAGCUAUCUGACUGUAUUGACAAACAAAAGAUGCAUCAAAACCCAAAAGGGCGAGCGAGGUAUUAUGGCCAUUACUGGGGGUAAGUGAGAACUUAAGCUUUCCUCAUUCCUCCCACACUACCCAAGAAAUCCUCCCUCUAGUCUCAGCAUAGCCCUGGGUUACAGAGUACAAUUUCAUGUACUCUUUCUCAGUCUCCUCCCUAUCACUUCAUUAAUCACCGUUUGAAUUCUGCUCUCCUUGAAAGCAGCUGGUCAUCUUGGCAAUCAAAAAUCCUGCCAGCUGGACACAGUUCAAGUUCAAUUGCAUCUCCCUGACCAGGUAGAACCCAUCCGUGUUGAAAUACUUGGCUGUUAACAGCCAAGGGGAUGAAGCCAACACAGGAAAAUGGAUUGCUCACAGAUUGGUUUUCUCUGCCUCCAGCUCAGGAUAAUAUAUGGGCAGUGACGUAAAACAAAUGGAGCCUUGGCUGGGUUACUUCACGUCCUUCUUGGGGGCCUCGCUGCUUCUACCAUGGGGCCUUGGAGCUGUUACUUCAUAACCUGCAGGCCAAAACCUGUAAACUGUGUAUUCGCAAAUUCCUAAAAUAUUGCCCAAUGGUCUUGAAAAAAUUAAUGUCCUGUGACAUGUUAGCAUAAUUUUCAUGAUUGAGGUGUUGAAUAUAAAUUCUGUAUAUAUUUAUUUAUACAGAAACCAACCCAGACUGGGGCAUAAUAUUUUUAAUUUUUCAUGUUUCUGGCAAAACAGUGACUGAGUUGCUUUUAUUUAUUUCACAGAGUUAGAAAUUUCUUUUCACUGGAGAGAUAAAUGGUAAGUUAUAAGGGACAAGAGGAGGACAAUCUUAUAAAAUACUCUCUGUACUUGAAUAAUCUCUGCUUUCAUUUCCUUUCUUUUUGUAUCUGGUGAUAAUUUUAAGAGUCCAAGUGUUUGAGAUUGGGUCCUAAGACCAUCACCCAGGCCCCCUUUUCAGAACUCCUGUAGUAUAUUCAGUCUGGACCCCUUAAAGUUUAAGACUUAAAUAAACAGUUACAUUCUAUGAGGCAGGGAGGGACGGUGAAAACUCAUUCAGCUCAAGUCCUGGAACGUGAGUUUCCACUGAGAGUGGAGAGGAUUUUAAAGUAGUUCUGUGGCUGUAAACACUUUUUGGGGUUCCUAGUCUCUUGAGAAUUUGCUAGAUGGUAUAUGUACACCCUCUCCAGAAAAGUGGACAUACAAUAUAAAAAUGGAUCCACAAUAUACAGUAUAUAAUUUUAUGUAUAUCAAUCAGCUAUUGCUGUGAUUAUGCCACAUAACAAAUCAUCCCUGAACUCAAUGGGUGACAACAACAAGCAUUUAUUUUUCUUGCUCAUGCAUGUAUAAAUUUUUCAGGUGUUUCUGUUCCAGAUUGUGAACUGGCCAUGCCUGGCUCUAGGCUUUGGGACAGUUCAACUCUGUUCCACAUGUCUGAUUCUGGAUCCCAUGCUGAAGAGGCAGCUGCUGUAUAAGGCAUGUUCUUUUUGUGAUGAUGGCAGAAGUUUGAGAGACAAGUCACACUAUGCAAACAUGGCUCAAGAUUCUAUCAUACAACAUCUGCUCACAUUCAACUGGCCAAAGUCAGUCAAGGUCAGUGGGGCAGAAAAGAAUAUACUGCCCGAAAAGGAAGGAAAAAGUGAGUGAACAUGUGUUGAACAAUACUCCAAUUUAUUAUCGGUAGGUCAAGGAAUCUUUGCAGCCUGAGUCUCGUAUGGUGAUUCUCAAACCUCAGCAAACAUAGAUAUCAUCUGGGGAAUCUGGUUCAAAAUGCAGACCUGAGACUAUUCUCCUGCAGAAUAUCUGAGUCAGUGGAUUUGGGUGGGGCCCAGGAAUCUGCACUUUAAACAGCCACUCCCUGGGGUUAUUCUGAUACUGAUGGUCCAGGGUCCACACUUUGAGAAUCACUGGUUUAAUGGUUCUGAGCAUGUGCUGAGGGCUCAGAGAUGCAAGUUCAAAUCCCAGCUCCACCCUAGCUUUGACCUUGGUAAGUAGCUUUGCUUUUCAGAGCCUCAGUUUUCUCCUCUAAAAAACUGAGUUGGCCGGGCGCUGUGGCUCAUGCCUGUAAUCCCAGCACUUUGGGAGGCUGAGGUGGGCGGAUCAUCUGAGGUUGUGAGUUUGAGACCAGCCUGACCAACAUGGAGAAACCCUGUCUCUACUAAAAAUACAAAAUUAGCCGGGCAUGGUGAUGCAUGCCUGUAGUCCCAGCUACUAGGGAGGCUGAGGCAGGAGAAUCACUUCAACCUGGGAGGCGGAGGUUGCGGUGAGCUGAGAUCACGCCAUUGCACUCCAGCCUGGGCAACAAGAGCGAAACUCUGUCUCAAAAAAAUAAAUAAAUAAAUAAAGUAAAAAUAAAAAAGUGAGUUAACAGUAAUACCUCUUUUAGGAUUUGUAUUAGUCAGGGUUCUCCAGAGGGACAUAAAGACACACCCAGGAAGAAUACUUUGCAUCCUUCAAUCCAAUCAAAUUUUGACACUCAAUAUUAACCAUCACAGGGUUGUAGAGAGGAUUCAGAAAUGGUGCUGGUAAAGCAAACAGCAAUAGUGCUUGGGACACAUGAAACCAAUAAAGGGUCAUCUGCCUGAAGCUGCUACCUCAGCAUCAUGCAAUAGCAUCAUCCUCAUCUCCUAUUGUCAUCAUUACCAUUGCCGUUGUCUUCAUAUGACAUCAUCACUAUUAGCACCGUUGUUUUGUUUCUUCUAGCUCCAGUAGUCUAUGAUUCCACACCACCUCACAUUGUUCUUUGACCAUAAAUCUGAUUUCCUCAGACUGCUAGAAUUCUUUUCUUGAAUCCCCAUGGUGGGGAAUGUUCUGCUUAUGGCGAGGUCCAAUGUCCAAGUUUAAUUUCACCCACCUCACUGGGCCAUGAUGUUCUGGAUGCUGCGUGGCAAGUCAGAGAUGUAUUUCCCCCCUUCAGAACCAGGUAGACCGCAGUUUCUGAAGGCUUAAGGAUUCAGAGUGGUUUAAGAGCAGUAAACCAUGGCCCAUCAUCAUUGCAUAAGGAAGCAAUGAAAGGUAAGUAUGCACCCUGAAGCUCACAGCUCACGCUUUAGUGUUUCCUUGUAUCCUUUUCAUUUCCUGACUCUCUUAUCCUCUUCCUUCUCUAUUUCUAUAUUUCUGUGUGUUUCCCUUGCUGCUUUUUUUCCCUUUCCCUCUACUCGUUUUUCUCUCUCUCUCUUUCUCAUUUCCUUUUCUCCCUUCUCUAUAUCUUUCUUGUUUUUCUGUAUGCCCUGCUCUCUUUAUACUCUCUGCCCCACCCCCUUCCUCAUUCAGUGGAAUGUGUGAUGCCUGGUACCUAGUGGAUGUUUGAGAAAUGUAUCCAUGAAGGAAGGAGUGAAUGAAAGAAAAAGCUUCCUGCAUCUGAAAUCCAGUUUCCUUUCCUUGCACUCCAGCAUGUCUCACUGCUGGACUCUUUCUCCUGGUGAAUGCAGUAUUGAUUAGCUGAGUGAACAGCAACAACAUCCCCUUCAAAAUCAGCCCAGGAUCUGAUCCAAUCUCUUGCCUUUUAGAAGUACCAUUUACUGGCCAGGCACGGUGGCUCACGCCUGUAAUCCCAGCACUUUGGGAGGCCGAGGUGG
Molecule: long non-coding RNA, 3785 nt
Filed under: Homo sapiens (human)
Lineage: Eukaryota; Metazoa; Chordata; Mammalia; Primates; Hominidae
Description: HSALNT0405233
Source: RNAcentral